UGGCCUGCCUGGGGACAGUGAGGCUGAGAUGCGUGCGCAUUCACGAGACAUCUCCAUUUUUUUCUUUCAGUCUUUGAAUGAAUACAAUGUUGUCCGGUUGAAAUAUUAUCACUAUUUUAUGAGAAAAAUAGCAUAAAAAUUGAUUUUAAACAGCGUUUGACAUGCUUCUAAGUACGGUAAUGGAAUUUUUUGACAUUUUUUGUCACGAAAUGCGCUCGCGCGUUACCCUUCAGAUAGUGACCUGAACGCACAAACAAAACGGAGGUAUUUGGAUAUAACUAUGGAUUAUUUGGAACCAAAACAACAUUUCUUGUUGAAGUAGAAGUCCUGGGAGUGCAUUCUGACGAAGAACAGCAAAGGACCUGAGCUCUAGGACCAUGCCUCAGGACUACCUGGCCUGAUGACUCCUUGCUGUCCCCAGUCCACCUAUCCAUGCUGCUGCUUCAGUUCCAACUGUUCUGCCUGCGGCUAUGAAACCCUGACCUGUUCACUGGACAUGCUACUUGUCCCAGACUUGCUGUUUUCAACUCUCUAGAGACAGCAGGAGCGGAAGAGAUACUCUGAAUGAUCGGCUAUGUAAAGCCAACUGACAUUUACUCCUGAGGCACUGACCUGUUGCACCCUCGACAUCCACUGUGAUUAUUAUUAUUUGACCCUGCUGGUCAUCUAUGAACAUUUGAACAUCUUGGCCAUGUUCUGUUAUAAUCUCCACCCGGCACCACCAGAAGAGGACUGGCCACCCCUCAUAGCCUGGUUCCUCUCUAGGAUUCUUCCUAGGUUCUGGCCUUUCUAGGGAGUUUUUCCUAGCCACCGUGCUUCUACACCUGCAUUGCUUGCUGUUUGGGGUUUUAGGCUGGGUUUCUGUACAUCACUUUGAGAUAUCAGUGGAUGUAAGAAAGGCUUUAUAAAUAUUUUUGAUUUGAUAUUCCUAUUUUGUAUGCUUAAGAUAAACUGUACAUACAGUAUACCACUAACAUGGUUUCCCAAAUGAUUAUGAUAUCGUUGGGCGUCCAUGUAUCUCAGAGCAGACUUUCAGAGGUACAUGGCCGGAUUGGUAUCCCAUAUCACACAUAAUUGUAUAAUGAUUAUUAUGAUCAUGGCUGCUCAUUGACUCAUUGAAAAUCUCCAAAGCCUGCCAAAAUGUUAUCAUUCAACUAAUAUAAUCACUAGCCCACAGUCAUGGAACAUCUUGGUUCUGGUUUCUGUUAGUUUCAGAGAUGACAUUAUUGGAUGGAGAUAUGAAUAAUGUAAUCCUGUUGCUUAAAAACAGGAUUCAUUUCUAAAUAUCAGAGUAUUUCAGUAUUUAGUGAUAAUGGGUUGAAAGUAAUUUGAUAAUUGAAACAAAGUAAUUUGCACCCUGUAAAUGGUUUCUCAUCACUCAGGGUGAGUCUUGGAGGCCCUUGAGCUAACUGACCUUGGAGGUUUAGAUGGGUGAAAUUAGUCACAAGGUUUUGAAGUAUAUGCAAGAGAGUUUUUCAGUACACAACAGUCUGCCAUAACACAGUUGACACCGCCAAUACAACAUAAACAAUGUGACAGGAAAUGCAUUGCAAUCCUAUGAACACUUUGAAUAAAUUCUGGCAAGAGAGAGAUGGAGAGAGGGGCGGGACAAUGCAAGGACAGAGAGAAGGUUCAG
RNAcentral lists this long non-coding RNA (1636 nucleotides) under Salmo salar (Atlantic salmon). RNAcentral describes it as "lncRNA (ENSSSAG00000095050.1)". The record is from RNAcentral. Lineage: Eukaryota; Metazoa; Chordata; Actinopteri; Salmoniformes; Salmonidae.